This 379-nucleotide ribosomal RNA is filed under the name uncultured microorganism. RNAcentral describes it as "bacterial SSU rRNA". It matches the Rfam family "Bacterial small subunit ribosomal RNA", at positions 9 to 414 of the family's 1533-position model. The record is from RNAcentral.
GAGUUUGAUCUUGGCUCAGAACGAACGCUGGCGGCAUGCCUAACACAUGCAAGUCGAACGAGAUCUUCGGAUCUAGUGGCGCACGGGUGCAUAACGCGUGGGAAUCUGCCCUUGGGUGCGGAAUAACUUCUCGAAAGGGAUGCUAAUACCGCAUAAUGUCGUAAGACCAAAGAUUUAUCGCCCAAGGAUGAGCCCGCGUAAGAGUUAGCUAGUUGGUGGGGUAAAAAGCCUACCAAGGCGACGAUCUUUAGCUGGUCUGAGAGGAUGAUCAGCCACACUGGGACUGAGACACGGCCCAGACUCCUACGGGAGGCAGCAGUGGGGAAUAUUGGACAAUGGGCGAAAGCCUGAUCCAGCAAUGCCGCGUGAGUGAUGAAGG